This 149-nucleotide small nuclear RNA is filed under the name Medicago truncatula (barrel medic). RNAcentral describes it as "sRNA gene50143". It matches the Rfam family "U2 spliceosomal RNA", at positions 35 to 192 of the family's 192-position model. From Rfam's summary of the family: U2 is a small nuclear RNA (snRNA) component of the spliceosome (involved in pre-mRNA splicing). Complementary binding between U2 snRNA (in an area lying towards the 5' end but 3' to hairpin I) and the branchpoint sequence (BPS) of the intron results the bulging out of an unpaired adenosine, on the BPS, which initiates a nucleophilic attack at the intronic 5' splice site, thus starting the first of two transesterification reactions that mediate splicing. The record is from RNAcentral. Lineage: Eukaryota; Viridiplantae; Streptophyta; Magnoliopsida; Fabales; Fabaceae.
AUUACUUUUUUUUAUCUGAUAUGUGGGUCAAUGAAUUACACGAUAUUAAAUUAUUUUUUUGAGGGGGAGAAGCCAUCUCAGUAGUUUGCUUCUGAGCUUCUCAAAUGUCGCCUUUGCGUUGCACUAUUGCAUGGACUGACGCACCCCAC